This 1372-nucleotide long non-coding RNA is filed under the name Nicotiana benthamiana. RNAcentral describes it as "long non-coding RNA (NBEN_LNC032981)". Lineage: Eukaryota; Viridiplantae; Streptophyta; Magnoliopsida; Solanales; Solanaceae. The record is from RNAcentral.
GUGAGUUCGAGUCUCCCCAAGAGCAAGGUGGGAAGUUCUUGGAGGGAAGGAUGCUGGGGGUCUAUUUGGAAACAGCCUCUCUACCCAAGGGUGGGGUAAGGUCUGCGUACAUACUACCCUCCCCAGAGCCCACUUAGUGGGAUUAUACAGGGUGGUUGUUGUUGUUGUUGUUGGUUCAAAGAAAAACAUAACUUUUAUAGUGAAUGACUGUUAUAGGGAGAUACUGUUAUAAAAAGGUCAGUCAAACUGUACAGUUUAAUAUAUUUGGUCCUCCUUUUUUCUAGUAUCAAUGGUAGGAUUAUAUAUUUGUCUUUAGGUUAACAAUGUUACUUGCUUUAGGAUACUGUUUGCUCUAGAUCUGUAAUCUUCUUCUAGAUACUUAUGUGACCUUCGUUUUUUGGUCCAUAAUCAAUCCAUGGAGCUGUGAUUUUAGUUAACGUGAACGAUUAACGUAUGCCAGUUAGUGGGUUAUAAAAUAUCUAUUUCCUAUCCCUUCUACAUAUAAGAAAAUGAAAGUCUUUUUUCUGUUUAAAUGUGCUUUCUGAAAAGUUUGCCAAGCUAGUAAAAGCUCUGGUUGGUCAUAGUUUUGGAUUAUGUGAAUCUGUGGACCUUUCAGUGUGACUCCUAACUUUGCAGCUUAUUUUUCAAUCUCGUGCAUCUUAUCUUCUUGCUUUUGUAGUUUUGAUGUUUCUGUGUAGAUUUAUAUGACUUGAAUUCCGGCUUAUAGUGAGCAGUAACAUGUCGAAUAAUUUUGCAUAACAAUCUUCGUUGUGAUCUUUGAGUGUAGAAAUCAUUUGAAGAAGCAAUGGAAUCUGUAGAAAAAUCUAAAGCAUUUGAUGACAAAAGAUGAAGAGUUGUGCUGUAUAGUUGUCUGCUUUUGUCGACCGGGUUUGAAAUGCUCAUGGAAACAUUGCAUCAUAUCUUCUGAAGUGGAAAUAUACUAUUGGAAUUUGCAAAUGGGUGAGCUGAGAUAUUCAAUUCUUGCAUCAUACCUUCUGAAGUGGAAAUAUACUAUUGGAAUUUGCAAAUGGGUGAGCUGAGAUAUUCAAUUGCUGUCAAAAUUGCUCAAACUUUUGACAGAAAUAAAAAGGGAGAGAGUUUGGUAAGGGAGUUGAGCAGCGGUGUGUACCCUUGUAUAGAAGAAACAAAUCAGUGGGUUGCGUUGCUCUUCUUGUAUCGUGUAAUACUAACCAAAUAAAAAUUUGUACAGAAUUCUUUUGAUCGGUAAGUGGAUAGAUGUCAAAUAGAUACGAGUCGACUUGCCUAAAGUAUAAUGUAUUACAUGUUAAAAUUUAGAGUACAAUAAGAGACUUCCAACGCCACCAAACCAUGUAGUACAACGAGUUUAGAUGUAAAACUUCUUCGGUGAGGC